This is a long non-coding RNA of Oxyura jamaicensis (ruddy duck), 3947 nucleotides long. RefSeq lists it as uncharacterized. NCBI's taxonomy places the organism in Eukaryota, Metazoa, Chordata, Aves, Anseriformes, Anatidae. The transcript has 2 exons. The record is from RefSeq and is a predicted model, not a curated record.
AACCUGCUGGCCAUGCUCCUUUUGAUGCAGCCCAAUGUAUGGUUGACUUUCUGGGCUGCAAGCACACGUUUCCACCAUCAAACAACACCCCCAGGCCUUUCUCCUCAGAUCUGCUCUUAACUCAUUCUCCACCCUGCCUGGAUUUGUGUUUAAGAUUGCCUCAGGCCCCUUGCAUUUGGCCUUGUUGAACUUCAUCCUAGCAGUUCUUCAGAAUUGUAUCAAAAUGAAACAUAAUUUUGAAGUGUGAGAAAUCCCUUAGAAACAGAACUGUAAGCUUCACUUAUAUUUCAACUGUAAUGCUAAAUGUUUUUCAGGAGCAAUUAAGUAAUUUAUGUAAAGGCCCAAGGACAUUAGGAAGAAAUGUAUCGUUUGUAAGAUUUUAUGUCAUAAGCUUUUGAUUUGGGGAAAUAUUCUCAGGUUACCAAUAGAUUCCAGAUUUACCUGGAACUAUUUUAAAGAUAUAAUCUCUUUCAAAAAAUUAAGGAUUACUUGCACUUAAAGUUCAGGAAAGGCAUAAAAAUAAAUAAGGUUCUUAAAACUUCAUUUUGUUAUUAUGUCUUUUUUUAUGCUUGUCUUUGCCUUGAACCACGUGUAUUUCAAUACCCAUGAGUUUGCUGGCUGAGCAUAACUGUGCAUAGUCAGUCUUUACAACAUUACCUGUUACAGCUAUCAUGUUCAUGACCUGUGCUUUAAAGAAUAAUUAUGCUUAUUAUGCUUCUGUUAUUGAGAUUGCAAAAGGAAGCUGCCUACAUAUUUAACAGCUUACAUAUAAACUGCAAUUGAAUCAGUUAGAUACUUCAGUAUUCAAAACAUGAAAUAGGUCUGUUUAGUAAAUAAAAUGGAAUUGCAUGUAUUGAUUUAAUUUUAAAAAAUCACAACCAAAUAAAUUCAUCUUUUUUUUUGUUGUUGUUUUUAUUCUAGAAUCGAAUGGAAGAAAGCAAAGCACUUUUUAGAACAAUUAUUACAUAUCCAUGGUUCCAGAAUUCUUCAGUUAUUCUGUUCUUAAAUAAAAAAGAUCUCUUAGAGGAGAAAAUUUUGUACUCCCAUCUAGUUGAUUAUUUCCCAGAGUAUGAUGGACCACAACGGGAUGCACAAGCAGCACGAGAGUUCAUCUUGAAGAUGUUUGUAGACCUGAAUCCAGACAGUGACAAAAUUAUCUACUCCCACUUCACAUGUGCUACAGACACAGAGAAUAUACGCUUCGUCUUUGCUGCUGUCAAGGAUACAAUCCUACAGUUAAACCUGAAGGAGUACAACCUGGUUUAACUGUGCCAAGGAGGCCCUGCAAAAUCACCUUUAUGUGACCGAAGAUACAGAAGAGGGACUGUAUUAUCUGUGAAAACAAUUUGCAUAAUACUAAUUUAUUGCUGAAGUUAUAUUCGCUCUGUGAAUAUCCACAGAGUUUGUAGUUAAUAUUAUGUUUUUAUUUAAACAAUAUGGAGAAAAAACAAAAGAUGCUGAACUACAUGCACAGCAAAUUUCCUUAUCUUUUAGGCAAAGCCUCAUGACUCAAUGUGUUUUAAAUUCUCAGUCAUACUCUCACAAAGGAUAAGGUGUUUUUUUUUUUGAUAUUGAAACAAAGUCAAUCCGGUUUCCUCGUUCCCUGACCAUUUCUCUCUCCUUCCUUCCCUUCCCGCUUUAUGUUUUUAAAGGUAUAAUGGCCUUUUUUCCCAGUUGCAUUUCUUGGUAAAAUAUUUUCUAUUGAGUGAUUUGGUCAGGAAAAAUGCCAUCAUCAAUAUUUAAAAUAUCAGUCAUUCCAAUUUUACAAAAUGUACUUUUUCUGAAGGAUCAAAAGUAUUGAUAGUAUGAUUUUUAAAUUCUUGACAUGGGUGUUUUCAUUCUGUCUUCACUUCUGAGGCUAGAAUAUUGGGAUUGCAAAAUAGAAAUACAGAUGUGUAUGGAUGUAAAAUUUAACCAUGCUUUCACAGUUUAGAAAGAUUCACAGAAGACAGUAAUGAAAUACCUAACACAAACCUAGGAUGUACAUGGAAUGUCAUAGAAUCUCUUUUUAAUUGCCAUGUGCCGUUUUUUUCUCUUUUCUUUAUUCACAAAUGUCAAACAGAAAUGUCAUGAACACUACAUUUUUCCCAGUAGCUACAGACUGAAACAGUGUGGGUUGUCUUCUUUUUUUUUUUUCAGUUGUGUGGGUUUUUUUCUUAAGUUAGAGCUUUUUAAAAUGUGUUUUUCCACAUUAGAUUUUUAUAUAUAUAUAUAAUUAAUCUUGCCAAAUCUGUCUUUUUAUAAAACCGAUAUUUUGAAAUAUAAGAUACUGAAUGAAAUACCAAAGUGAUGGAUUGGGAACUGACCUGAUUGAGUCAACUGCCAUAUGAUAAACAUAGUUUCAGUUCCUACAAUCCCCUUUUAGAAAGUGUUCCAUUUUCUAUUGCCAAAAACAACAGUGUGGAUGAAUAUGAUAAUAGAUACAUGUGUAUAAAAGACAGUUUAACUCAUGUCAGAGAUGACAUGAGAUUGCAUACAACAUGUUCUGUAAUAAUAUCAAGGCAUCUUUAGUUUUACAACAUGAAAUGUUUGUUCACUGGUUGCUUGUUCACUGAAUCACAGACAUUUGAUAGGCUUAAUAUAAACGCCUUGAUAUUCUUUAGAAAGAGCUAUGAAUAUAAAUGAAACAUUGAGAAAAUCACUCUAGAAAUUUAAACGUGCUGUUUUUUAACAAAAAAAAAUGCAGUUCAUUGAUGAGUCUUUAUUCUACAGCUUAAGCUGAAAGAGGGUGUUUUUUGACCAGGUGCAUUACUGCUGGCAAGCUACAGAGAACUCAGAUAUGUAAUUGGAUUGUCUGCAAUGCCAAGUAGCACUAGAGUGCACUUAACACAGAAAUUGCUGCCUCUCAGCAGUGUAGGGGAAGUGGAAAAAAGAAUGGCUUAUUAGUUGAGUAACAAAGUUAACAAUAAAGACUAAUGAAUUGUUUUUCAUCCUUAACCCUCCCAGCUCCAAAACAACAAUUAUAAGAACAGCUGAUACUUUUUUCUCCCUUAUAAAACAUCUUAUAAUUAAAAUCUGGUUGUACAUACAUAUAUAUAUAUGGCAGCAUCCAUAUUAUCUUUGUAAUUAUUAAUUUUUGGCAAAUUGAAUGUGCUAUGUUGAUAUGUAUCUAUGUAAUUGUACUGUAUGUCAUAGCUAAUUUACAUUUUAAAUAAUGCUAUUUUAUUUACUUUUUAAGAGAAAAGAAUGUAAAUUUUGUCCGUUUAUUUCUGACUAGGGACUUGUUUUUAUUUAAAUAUAUAUAUAUAGUACAAAGUGGUACUAGCAUCGUACUGUAUAAAAUUAUUUGUACAUUCCCAAGUAGAAAUAAAUUGUAUACAUGCAAAGGACAUUCACAUUCAAAACAAUGCUUAAAUCUUAUGAGGGCUUUAUACAAAUGUAGAAACCAGUUUUGUUAGAAGAACAUAUGCCAUUAUAUCUCGGAUUGGAAAAUAAGCUCUUCAAUAUGAAUUUGUAUUUGGCAGAUUAAACUUUAAUUUUGCCUUUCUAAUGGCCUUUAUUAGAAAAGUUAAUUUAGAGACUUUUCAAACCAGUGAACAUAAGUACUAAUGGGCAUAUGUUAUUUCCCUAAAAAUAAUCAUGAAAAAAUGCAGAACAUCAGAUCAAUUAAACAUUAUUUCAGAAAUUGCAGAAACGUUGAAUCUAGCAACAAAAAACUCAUUAGCGUUAACAAUUUUAAGGAGUUAAAAAUUUUAUUUAAUAAAGCUAAAGCAGGUAGUUGUAUGUUAUAAAAAGUGACACCGACAUUCUAAAUAGGUGAUCAGAGUAGUUAAUGUUGUUAUAUAUGGCAUUAUAAAAUUGGUCCUGAUCUUGCUUAAAAACAUAAAGCUUCUGUGUCUACCGUUAACUAUGGAGUGCAUGAUAAUAUCCCUUCUUUUAACCUGGGAAUAUAUUGGCCACCUUGGAUUUAGUGAUAUAAAUAGAACUGUAGGAAAAAAAAAAAAAAA